Molecule: long non-coding RNA, 1151 nt
Organism: Passer domesticus (house sparrow)
Lineage: Eukaryota; Metazoa; Chordata; Aves; Passeriformes; Passeridae
Exons: 3
Source: RefSeq, a predicted model, not a curated record
UCUGAUGCCAAAAUCUAAGUAAUCUUCUGCUGCUCCUCCUUGCCUUUUACCCAAAAGCAGCUCACAUACCCGUAACACAUUAUGCUGUCACAAUCAUUAUCCACCAACCUUUAGAAACACAGGAGAAAAGACUUAAGACGAUAACCUGGAGCCCUGCCUAGUCCCAUUGCUUUGACCUCUCAGCCUGUCUCACAAUGAUGUCUCCAAGCACAGGCAUACAUAAGCUGCCUGUGCAACAUUUUUGGCCUUCUCCCUUGAGUACUUGCUCUGGCCAAUUUUUCUAAUCAGUGAUCAGUGAUCAGCAGACCAUCAAAUGGGCCAUACACACCCAGCAGAUGGCAGUGGCUGUGCUCAAGCAUGACAUGACAGCUCUUUGCACACAGAACUGGCUACAGAACAAAGCAGACUGUUCAGGCCACCAAGGCACAGGUCUGCCCCUCCUCUGAGCCCCAAGUAAAGCAGUUUGCUACCUGCUAAGGCACCUGAGUGUCCUAUUGAAGGAAGUCCCAGAGCAUCCCCAUGGAAGCAGACUCUGAAGCAACUUGUCUGCAUCCACCUCACAAAAAGAAGUCCAGAACAGGAGCCAGUAUACCCAUUAUGCUCUCAGCAGCAUCUCACAGGGGACUGCCAGUUCUGCCUUGUGAUAGAGCAUUUCCAUUUGUGCUUCCCAGUGUUUGCACAGGUAUUUUCUUACAUUGGCAUAUGAGAUAUGAGUUUGUGUUACAAAAAUUGGUGCAUAUUUCAUGAGUGUGCUUUCCUAAAUGGAGAUAGUGUCUCUGCGCCUCAUACCUGCUGGAAAUCAAAGCAUUGCUCUUUUUCAAAUCAAUUGGAAUUAGUUCUGUGCAUGAGCUUUCUGAAAGCACCAUAAAAACUUUACAAAAAGCAAGCAAGAAUACUUGGUGUGGUUCAUCUCCUCAUGGACCUAAACUUGUGACAAGGAAACUGGGAAGUCAAUCUAGGUGAGGAGCUUACAGCACAGCAUUUGGGAGCUCUGGAGGGAGCAGGUGGAAUUGACAAUAUUCCUGCAUUUUGCUUAUUAACAACUGGAAGGGAAAGUGAGGGCACAUCAGUUUGGUUGAAGACAAGUGUGAGUUAGAUUGCAAGACAGAUCUGGUCCUACCUUGCUGAAGACAGUACGUGGACUGAAGAGC